Molecule: ribosomal RNA, 344 nt
Filed under: uncultured Candidatus Sumerlaeota bacterium
Lineage: Bacteria; Candidatus Sumerlaeota
Description: bacterial SSU rRNA
Rfam family: Bacterial small subunit ribosomal RNA
Source: RNAcentral
AACGAACGCUGGCGGCGUGGAUUAGGCAUGCAAGUCGAGCGAGAAAGUCCCCUUCGGGGGGCGAGUAAAGCGGCGAACUGGUGAGUAACGAGUGGGCAACGUACCCCAGAGUGGGGAAUAAUCCGUCGAAAGGCGGACUAAUACCGCAUGUGUUCACCGGGUCCUCGGACCGGGUGAGGAAAGGCGUUUCGAUCUUCGGAUCGAGGUGCCGCUCUGGGAUCGGCCCGCUUCCGAUUAGCUUGUUGGUGGGGUAACGCCUACCAAGGCAACGAUCGGUAGCUGGUCUUAGAGGAUGGUCAGCCACACUGGGACUGAGAUACGGCCCAGACUCCUACGGGAGGCAG